This is a non-coding RNA of Mycena leptocephala, 93 nucleotides long. The record is from the annotation of a GenBank genome assembly. Lineage: Eukaryota; Fungi; Basidiomycota; Agaricomycetes; Agaricales; Mycenaceae.
UCGGACAUGGUGUAGGGUUCACAGCCUCUCGCAUUGGGGAAGAAUUCACACUCAUGUUGGAGGCAGACCGGGGUCCGACUCCCCGUGUCCGAA